AGAAACUCUCAAUCUGGGAUGUACUAAUUCCUCACAUUUGCUUCAAGAGCUUCUCCACUUAUGUGCUGUGGAUAUCCCUGGCUAUUGUAAAGAGAUUGAGUUCUUGAUUUGAUUCUCCGCUUGAACGCUGUUGGUGUAUUCAACAGUCUAAGAAAGGAGUUACAGUGUUGACUGAGGUGAUUGACCCAGACUAUCAAGAUGAAAUCAGUCUAUUGCUCCACAGUGGAGGACUUUGAAAAACAUAAUUUUCUGAAAAUGUUGUGGAAACCCAAAAUAAUAAUAAUAACCUUACAGCAGUAUCAUAAAGAAUGGGAGAAAAAAAGUGUGCUAUCCCUCUCCUCCUCCUCCCCAUUUCCCUCUCCAGCUCCUGUUUUCCGGUCCUGAAAAAUAAUCCUGGAACUUAUUAAUAAGAGGAAGUCAAAUUCUACCACAAUGUUUUUAAGACACUGUCUCUUUCCCCAACUGGCUAAUAAACUCAUGUAGAACAUAGAUUAUCCCUAUUCAUCUUUACAUCCAAGUGACUAUUAAACUAAAGGAACACAAGGGUUUGAUGAAAAAGCAAGAAUCUAGUGACUCUCUUGUGAAAAAUGUAUAUAAACUCUGAUCUUCAUGGGUUCCCUCAACAGUUAAACUAUUCUUCUGUGUUUUGCGUAUUUUUGUCUGAUUUUUGUUUGUUUAUUUCUAAAACAAGUUAGCUCUAUGAGACAGAGAAUGAAUUUCUUCAAUAGGCUCUUUGUGUUUAUGAAGGUAGGUGCAUAAACAUAUUAGCUGGCCACUGAAAAUAUCUCCUAAAUUAGAAUUCUUAAAUAACUGAGUAAACAUGAAAGUUUUAAUGACUUUUUUCUUAAUAUAUAUUACAAUUAUUAUAAUAUUAAAUUAAAAAUAUUAUUUGAAUUCUUCACAGAAUACCAAAAAUAAUUAUUUUUAAAUAUUGCUAUAUACAUACAUUUUUAAAUAUCAUAAAUUAUUUUCAAAAGAUUGUCAUAAAAAUAUUAGAGUAAAAUAUGUAUGAUCACUAUUUCUAAGAAAAUCAAAUUGAUCCAAGUACAUUAAUAAGUAAAACCAUGAAUCAAUAUACAAGAGUAGAAUUAGCUGUGGUAAAUAUGUCAUAUCCCAAUAUAUGCAUAAUUUAAAGUUAUUUUUUGGGAGGUGAAAAUAAUGAUACAUAAAUAGUAUUUACUAAUGUAUUCAUAUAAAUUUCAAAAUUUGGAAAUAUUGUUAAAUUGCCUCCUUUUUUUAAAAUGUGAUAAAGUUAGUAAGUUCUUCUACACCAUUUAUAUUAUAUGUCAUAACUCUGUUUUGGUAGAGAUGUUAUAAUUUCAGUAUAGAAUCUCUUAGUAAAGAGUUGAUAAUUUAGUUAUAUAGGUCUGACAUUAAAAAGUCCCAUCAUAAAAUUCUUAUAAAUGUUUUUUCACACUUCAGAGAAAGGCAAGAAAUAUAAUUCUUAAUUUCAACAGUGUGGUAAUAUCUAGACUCUUUGUAUAACAUGCAUUAAAAUGCAGGUGUUGCACAGCUAGCUAGGGGACCUCAUGAUAAUACAAAAAGCUUAUGAAUUGCAGUGAGAAACAUUUAGCUAUCACCAGAAUUUUAAUUAUCCCUAAAACAUAUUGACAUUUUUUGAUAUUGGUCUUGAGAUUGACUGCUGUCACUUCCAAUAAAAUAUUAUUUGGUAAACUCAACUGAAUUAUUAUCAAAAUUGAUGAGGCAUUUGAUUUAGUGUUUAAAU
Molecule: long non-coding RNA, 1726 nt
Filed under: Homo sapiens (human)
Lineage: Eukaryota; Metazoa; Chordata; Mammalia; Primates; Hominidae
Description: HSALNT0142139
Source: RNAcentral